This 449-nucleotide ribosomal RNA is filed under the name uncultured organism. RNAcentral's name for it is "partial 16S ribosomal RNA". It matches the Rfam family "Bacterial small subunit ribosomal RNA", at positions 331 to 797 of the family's 1533-position model. The record is from RNAcentral.
GUACACUCCUGCGGGAGGCAGCAGUGGGGAAUAUUGGACAAUGGGCGCAAGCCUGAUCCAGCCAUGCCGCGUGAGUGAUGAAGGCCCUAGGGUUGUAAAGCUCUUUCACCGGAGAAGAUAAUGACGGUAUCCGGAGAAGAAGCCCCGGCUAACUUCGUGCCAGCAGCCGCGGUAAUACGAAGGGGGCUAGCGUUGUUCGGAAUUACUGGGCGUAAAGCGCACGUAGGCGGAUCGAUCAGUCAGGGGUGAAAUCCCAGGGCUCAACCCUGGAACUGCCUUUGAUACUGUCGAUCUGGAGUAUGGAAGAGGUGAGUGGAAUUCCGAGUGGAGAGGUGAAAUUCGUAGAUAUUCGGAGGAACACCAGUGGCGAAGGCGGCUCACUGGUCCAUUACUGACGCUGAGGUGCGAAAGCGUGGGGAGCAAACAGGAUUAGAAACCCCUGUAGUCCC